This 1465-nucleotide ribosomal RNA is filed under the name metagenome. RNAcentral's name for it is "bacterial SSU rRNA". It matches the Rfam family "Bacterial small subunit ribosomal RNA". The record is from RNAcentral.
GGCGGCAUGCCUUACACAUGCAAGUCGAACGGCAGCACGGGGGCAACCCUGGUGGCGAGUGGCGAACGGGUGAGUAAUACAUCGGAACGUACCUGGAAGUGGGGGAUAACGUAGCGAAAGUUACGCUAAUACCGCAUAUUCUGUGAGCAGGAAAGCAGGGGACCGCAAGGCCUUGCGCUUUUGGAGCGGCCGAUGUCGGAUUAGCUGGUUGGUGGGGUAAAGGCCUACCAAGGCGACGAUCCGUAGCGGGUCUGAGAGGAUGAUCCGCCACACUGGGACUGAGACACGGCCCAGACUCCUACGGGAGGAAGCAGUGGGGAAUUUUGGACAAUGGGCGCAAGCCUGAUCCAGCCAUGCCGCGUGAGUGAAGAAGGCCUCGGGUUGUAAAGCUCUUUCGGUGGGGAAGAAAUCGCAUUCUUUAAUAGAGGGUGUGGAUGACGGUACCCACAUAAGAAGCACCGGCUAACUACGUGCCAGCAGCCGCGGUAAUACGUAGGGUGCGAGCGUUAAUCGGAAUUACUGGGCGUAAAGCGUGCGCAGGCGGUUGUGUAAGUCAGAUGUGAAAUCCCCGGGCUCAACCUGGGAACUGCAUUUGAGACUGCACGGCUAGAGUGUGGCAGAGGGGGGUGGAAUUCCACGUGUAGCAGUGAAAUGCGUAGAGAUGUGGAGGAACACCGAUGGCGAAGGCAGCCCCCUGGGCCAAGACUGACGCUCAUGCACGAAAGCGUGGGGAGUAAAUAGGAUUAGAUAUCCUGGUAGUCCACGCCCUAAACGAUGUCAACUAGAUGUUGGAAGGGUUAAACCUUUUAGUGUCGCAGCUAACGCGUGAAGUUGACCGCCUGGGGAGUACGGCCGCAAGGCUAAAACUCAAAGGAAUUGACGGGGACCCGUAUAAGCGGUGGAUGAUGUGGAUUAAUUCGAUGCAAUGCGAAAAAUUUUACCUACCCUUGACAUGUCAGGAACCCUGGAGAGAUCUGGGGGUGCCCGAAAGGGAGCCUGAACACAGGUGCUGCAUGGCUGUCGUCAGCUCGUGUCGUGAGAUGUUGGGUUAAGUCCCGCAACGAGCGCAACCCUUGUCGUUAAUUGCCAUCAUUGAGUUGGGCACUUUAAUGAGACUGCCGGUGAUAAACCGGAGGAAGGUGGGGAUGACGUCAAGUCCUCAUGGCCCUUAUGGGUAGGGCCUCACACGUCAUACAAUGGUCGGUUCAGAGGGUUGUUAAGCCGCGAGGCGGAGCUAAUCUCAGAAAGCCGAUCGUAGUCCGGAUUGCAGUCUGUAACUUGACUGCAUGAAGUCGGAAUCGCUAGUAAUCGCGGAUCAGUAUGCCGCGGUGAAUACGUUCCCGGGUCUUGUACACACCGCCCGUCACACCAUGGGAGCGGGUUCUGCCAGAAGUAGUUAGCCUAACCGUGAGGAGGGCGAUUACCACGGCAGGGUUCGUGACUGGGGUGAAGUCGUAACAAGGUA